AGGGUGUUAAUGUUUAAACACACGAGGUCGUGUUGUACUUCUGCAACUAACCUGCUGGUUCCUACUCAGCUCGUUCCUGGUAAGUGGUUCCCACUGGCUCCACCGCGCUGUUUCAUGGUCAUGAUGAGCGCGGGACUGGUUUCCCUCCUGACAGACACUGCAGCUGCUGUCACACAGAUGCCACCGGGAAGAGAGGAUGUUCUCCCCGAACAGAGCAAGACCCUGCGAAGACAGGCACGUAGACGCAGCAAACCUUCUUCUGAUUUAUCAAGUACACGAUACAAUGUUGCCAUUUAUGAACAAUGUUGCCAUUUACGAAGCUACUCCUCUGCACGUGCCUGGGAUCCAGCCUUUGAGUAGUGACCUCUGCAUAUCCAGGGAUCUCUCACUGUGCUCUAACACUUUACUCCAGGGUAAGGCCCUGGACACAUGAAAGCCAGAGAGUACAUUGGUUUUUUUUAACCUUCUGUUAUAAAAAGAAAAAUAAAAUUUCU
Molecule: long non-coding RNA, 494 nt
Filed under: Mustela putorius furo (domestic ferret)
Lineage: Eukaryota; Metazoa; Chordata; Mammalia; Carnivora; Mustelidae
Description: lncRNA (ENSMPUG00000026527.1)
Source: RNAcentral